RNAcentral lists this ribosomal RNA (1738 nucleotides) under Triticum aestivum (bread wheat). Its description in RNAcentral is "partial small subunit ribosomal RNA". The record is from RNAcentral. Lineage: Eukaryota; Viridiplantae; Streptophyta; Magnoliopsida; Poales; Poaceae.
UGCAACCUAGCGGGCGAGAGAGAGAGAGAGAAAAGGGUUCCAGAGCGGCAGCCCCCCAACCCUCGCCCCCCCUCUCUCUCUCCCCCCUACGCUGGCUGCUGCCGCUGCAGCCUAAAGCAGCGAGCCUUUCCACCUCUCCUCGCCACCCACACACCACCGCCACCACCCCGCCUCGGCCUCGGCUGCGGCGCCCUGCACGUGUCUCCGCCUCGCCGGAGCGGGAGCGGCCGCCGCCGCCGCCGCCAUGUCCGGGCUCUACGGCCAGCAGGGCUUCUCCCCUUCCAGGAACCUGUCCCCCCAGAUUAGAAGCAACCCAGAUGUCGAUAGCCAGUACCUGGCCGAGCUGCUCGCCGAGCACCAGAAGCUGGGGCCUUUCAUGCAGGUGCUGCCCAUAUGCAGCAAGCUGCUGAGCCAAGAGAUUAUGCGGGUGUCAAACUCUGCACACAACCCUGGGUUCAGUGAUUUCGAUAGACAUCGAUUCAGAAGUCCUAGUCCAAUGUCUUCACCAAAUCCAAGAUCCAAUCUCUCUGGCAAUGGGUUCAGUCCUUGGAAUGGACUACACCAAGAGAGAUUAGGCUUUCCUCAAGGAAACAGUAUGGAUUGGCAAGGAGCGCCACCAAGCCCUAGCUCUCAUGUCAUGAAGAAGAUUCUACGCUUGGAGGUCCCAGUUGAUUCUUAUCCAAGUUUCAAUUUUGUGGGACGUAUUCUAGGACCUAGAGGUAAUUCUCUAAAGCGGGUAGAAGCAUCUACUGGUUGUCGUGUUUUCAUCAGAGGAAAGGGUUCCAUCAAAGAUCCUGGGAAGGAGGACAAGCUACGAGGAAAACCAGGCUAUGAGCAUCUGAGCGAACAACUUCAUAUCUUGAUAGAGGCUGAGUUCCCAGCCAAUAUUAUUGAUGCCAGAUUGAGACAUGCACAGGAAAUUCUAGAGGAACUGCUAAAGCCAGUGGAUGAGACACAGGAUAUCUACAAGAGGCAACAGCUCAGGGAGCUGGCGAUGCUAAACUCAACCCUGCGAGAGGACAGCCCUCAUCCGGGGAGCGUCUCCCCAUUCAGCAACGGUGGCAUGAAGCGUGCGAAAACAGGCCAGUAGGGAAGGAGCCACCCCUCAUCGUUACCGGUAUUGUCCAGGUGCCUUAUGUGCCCCCCAAUGGGGACGCCAUGUCUCCGGGCAACGUUUGCCGCGGGCGCACUUGAAGGAAGCGACGCCCUGCAUUUCGCUAGACGAGUCAGUAUGAGUCUGCGGUCUCUCCUGCGGACAAGGAGAAACCGCUGGGACAAUGGAAGUAGUAGUGGUCCUGGGCCCGUGGGUCGGCCCAGCUUUGGUUGCUGUAAGGUCCUAGAACAUUCGCUUUAUUUGUUAAUUGACUGUUAACCCUAGUAAUGUGGUGCUAUGAUGGUAGGUGAUGCCGAUGACAGACAGACUAGAGAGGCCCGAGUAUGUGAGCUUUCAUGUUUUCCUUUUUCACCCCCUGUUAGGCGUCGGAACUUCCUUGUAUAUUAUCCACCCUUCUGCAUUAUGGAGUCGCGGAUAAUAAUAAAAAGGGUAUAAGGAUCAUCAGCUUGUGCCUUGUGGAGUUGUCGUGUCUGGUUCAGACCGUGGAGGGUUCGAAUCGACAAUGUCGAAGUCUGGUUUUUAAUGUCAUCAGUGUUCAUGGAUCUUUGUGGUUUAUAUUGUUGAACUUCAUGAUGAAUUUGUGGCAAUUUUGGGUUGAGGCAUGUUUGUUUGCGUCUGCUUGGC